This 261-nucleotide ribosomal RNA is filed under the name Pseudomonas moraviensis. RNAcentral's name for it is "partial 23S ribosomal RNA". It matches the Rfam family "Bacterial large subunit ribosomal RNA", at positions 1447 to 1707 of the family's 2925-position model. Lineage: Bacteria; Pseudomonadati; Pseudomonadota; Gammaproteobacteria; Pseudomonadales; Pseudomonadaceae. The record is from RNAcentral.
CUGGUUAUUGCGAUGGAGGGACGGAGAAGGCUAGGCCAGCUUGGCGUUGGUUGUCCAAGUUUAAGGUGGUAGGCUGAGAUCUUAGGUAAAUCCGGGAUCUUAAGGCCGAGAGCUGAUGACGAGUUACCCUUUGGGUGACGAAGUGGUUGAUGCCAUGCUUCCAAGAAAAGCUUCUAAGCUUCAGGUAACCAGGAACCGUACCCCAAACCGACACAGGUGGUUGGGUAGAGAAUACCAAGGCGCUUGAGAGAACUCGGGUGA